UCCGUAGGUGUCAAGCGUUGUCCGGAUUUAUUGGGCGUAAAGCGCCCGCAGGCGGCUUGCCAAGUUCGAUGUGAAAUCUCCCGGCUCAACUGGGAGGGUGCGCCGAAAACUGGGAGGCUAGAGUGCGGGAUGGGAGAGUGGAAUUCCAGGUGUAGCGGUGAAAUGCGUAGAUAUCUGGAGGAAUACCGGUGGCGAAGGCGGCAUCCUGGACCGAGAUUGACGCUGAGGAGCGAAAGCUAGGGGAGCAAACGGG
Molecule: ribosomal RNA, 253 nt
Filed under: uncultured bacterium
Lineage: Bacteria
Description: partial 16S ribosomal RNA
Rfam family: Bacterial small subunit ribosomal RNA
Source: RNAcentral